This 504-nucleotide ribosomal RNA is filed under the name uncultured bacterium. Its description in RNAcentral is "partial 16S ribosomal RNA". It matches the Rfam family "Bacterial small subunit ribosomal RNA", at positions 30 to 523 of the family's 1533-position model. The record is from RNAcentral.
AUUGAACGCUGGCGGCAGGCUUAACACAUGCAAGUCGAGCGGGGUGAUGGUGCUUGCACUAUCACUUAGCGGCGGACGGGCGAGUAAUGCUUAGGAAUCUGCCUAUUAGUGGGGGGACAACAUCUCGAAAGGGAUGCUAAUACCGCAUACGUCCUACGGGAGAAAGCAGGGGAUCACUUGUGACCUUGCGCUAAUAGAUGAGCCUAAGUCGGAUUAGCUAGUUGGUGGGGUAAAGGCCUACCAAGGCGACGAUCUGUAGCGGGUCUGAGAGGAUGAUCGGCCACACUGGGACUGAGACACGGCCCGGACUCCUACGGGAGGCAGCAGUGGGGAAUAUUGGACAAUGGGGGGAACCCUGAUCCAGCCAUGCCGCGUGUGUGAAGAAGGCUUUAUGGUUGUAAAGCACUUUAAGCGAGGAGGAGGCUCUUUUGGUUAAUACCCAAGAUGAGUGGACGUUACUCGCAGAAUAAGCACCGGCUAACUCUGUGCCAGCCGCCGCCGUAA